RNAcentral lists this transfer RNA (86 nucleotides) under Spirochaetaceae bacterium. RNAcentral describes it as "tRNA-Leu". It matches the Rfam family "tRNA". From Rfam's summary of the family: Transfer RNA (tRNA) molecules are approximately 80 nucleotides in length. Their secondary structure includes four short double-helical elements and three loops (D, anti-codon, and T loops). Further hydrogen bonds mediate the characteristic L-shaped molecular structure. tRNAs have two regions of fundamental functional importance: the anti-codon, which is responsible for specific mRNA codon recognition, and the 3' end, to which the tRNAs corresponding amino acid is attached (by aminoacyl-tRNA synthetases). tRNAs cope with the degeneracy of the genetic code in two manners: having more than one tRNA (with a specific anti-codon) for a particular amino acid; and 'wobble' base-pairing, i.e. permitting non-standard base-pairing at the 3rd anti-codon position. Lineage: Bacteria; Pseudomonadati; Spirochaetota; Spirochaetia; Spirochaetales; Spirochaetaceae. The record is from RNAcentral.
GCCGGCGUGAUGAAAUCGGUAGACAUGCCAGACUCAAAAUCUGGUGGGGGGUAACCCCCGUGUCGGUUCGACUCCGACCGCCGGCA